RNAcentral lists this ribosomal RNA (309 nucleotides) under uncultured eukaryote. RNAcentral's name for it is "partial 18S ribosomal RNA". It matches the Rfam family "Eukaryotic small subunit ribosomal RNA", at positions 1470 to 1796 of the family's 1831-position model. The record is from RNAcentral.
CCCUUAGAUGUUCUGGGCGGCCCGCGCACUACAUUGGCACUGGCAACAAGAUCCUAGAUCUGAUAUUUCGGGGUAUUCUACCAACUGGUGUCGUGACUGGGAUUAACCCCUGCAAUUAUUGGUUAUGAACGAGGAAUUCCUUGUAAUCACGGUUUAUCAACCCGUGUUGAAUGCGUCCCUGCCCUUUGUACACACCGCCCGUCGCUCCUACCGAUGAAUCGUCCGGUGAAGUUCAUGGAGUCGCGGCUGCUCCAGCCGUUUUCGAAGUGAAAUGGACCUCAUGAUUUAGAGGAAGGAGAAGUCGUAACA